UGGCGCCGCCGCGGCAGCUCGAGUCCACCAGCAGCGCCGUCCGCUUGACCGAGAUGCUGCGGGCCUGUCAGUUAUCGGGUGUGACCGCCGCCGCCCAGAGUUGUCUCUGUGGGAAGUUUGUCCUCCGUCCAUUGCGACCAUGCCGCAGAUACUCUACUUCAGGCAGCUCUGGGUUGACUACUGGCAAAAUUGCUGGAGCUGGCCUUUUGUUUGUUGGUGGAGGUAUUGGUGGCACUAUCCUAUAUGCCAAAUGGGAUUCCCAUUUCCGGGAAAGUGUAGAGAAAACCAUACCUUACUCAGACAAACUCUUCGAGAUGGUUCUUGGUCCUGCAGCUUAUAAUGUUCCAUUGCCAAAGAAAUCGAUUCAGUCGGGUCCACUAAAAAUCUCUAGUGUAUCAGAAGUAAUGAAAGAAUCUAAACAGCCUGCCUCACAACUCCAAAAACAAAAGGGAGAUACUCCAGCUUCAGCAACAGCACCUACAGAAGCGGCUCAAAUUAUUUCUGCAGCAGGUGAUACCCUGUCGGUCCCAGCCCCUGCAGUUCAGCCUGAGGAAUCUUUAAAAACUGAUCACCCUGAAAUUGGUGAAGGAAAACCCACACCUGCGCUUUCAGAAGAAGCAUCCUCAUCUUCUAUAAGGGAGCGACCACCUGAAGAAGUUGCAGCUCGCCUUGCACAACAGGAAAAACAAGAACAAGUUAAAAUUGAGUCUCUAGCCAAGAGCUUAGAAGAUGCUCUGAGGCAAACUGCAAGUGUCACUCUGCAGGCUAUUGCAGCUCAGAAUGCUGCGGUCCAGGCUGUCAAUGCACACUCCAACAUAUUGAAAGCCGCCAUGGACAAUUCUGAGAUUGCAGGCGAGAAGAAAUCUGCUCAGUGGCGCACAGUGGAGGGUGCAUUGAAGGAACGCAGAAAGGCAGUAGAUGAAGCUGCCGAUGCCCUUCUCAAAGCCAAAGAAGAGUUAGAGAAGAUGAAAAGUGUGAUUGAAAAUGCAAAGAAAAAAGAGGUUGCUGGGGCCAAGCCUCAUAUAACUGCUGCAGAGGGUAAACUUCACAACAUGAUAGUUGAUCUGGAUAAUGUGGUCAAAAAGGUCCAAGCAGCUCAGUCUGAGGCUAAGGUUGUAUCUCAGUAUCAUGAGCUGGUGGUCCAAGCUCGGGAUGACUUUAAACGAGAGCUGGACAGUAUUACUCCAGAAGUCCUUCCUGGGUGGAAAGGAAUGAGUGAGUACAACUGAAGUAAUGUUUUUUUUUGAUGUUUUAACCACUAAUCAAUGAAUCUAAACUUGCUUCAUCUCCAUUGUAGUCCACAUCCCUCUGGCAUGCAUGCAUAUCUCUUUUUGUAAGAGCAUUUUAUUUUAACCACAGUCAUUACAGAUGACACAGCCGCAACAAUACUCUUGUAGUUUUAGCUGUGGUGAACAUGAGUUCCAGCUAGU
RNAcentral lists this small RNA (1430 nucleotides) under Pan troglodytes (chimpanzee). RNAcentral's name for it is "retained intron". The record is from RNAcentral. Lineage: Eukaryota; Metazoa; Chordata; Mammalia; Primates; Hominidae.